CGUACCCAAAGAGUCAACUCGUACCCAAAAUUGAAGUCAUAAAAUAAAAUUAAUAAUGAAAAUAUUUCACUUUUUGAGAUAUUUUCAUAAAGAUAUCUGAUUUAUUAUUCCAAUUUAGUUACACUACUUAUAUUUUAUAAAAUAAUGACAAUUAGCCCUUUCACAGUAACUGCAGUACUACUCUUUUGCAGGGCAAAAUAAUAACGUUUGGCGAAGUUUUUGUUGAGAGAUAAUUAAAUGACGUAUAUUUCACAAUUACUUUUACGUCAUAUUUCACCAAAAUUUAUCAUUUUGCCCUGCAAAAGAGCAGUACUGCAGUUACUGUGAAACGGUCCAUUAAAUUAAAUUUGUUUGAAAAAUUCAACUUGGCAUAUAUAGAUAUAUACAUGUAUGUAGAUCAAGCAUGAUUUAUGCAAUUACCAUCAGCACAGACGAAUUAUGUGUAUACUAUUAAAUAAUCUAUAGUACAUGUCUUUGUAUAUAAUAUACACUGUAUAUGUAAGUAACAGUUUUGGGUACGAGUUGACUCCUUGGGUACGACUCGGUUUGGGUACGAGUCGGUUUGGGUACGAGUUGACUGUAAAUCCUUUAUAGCCCCCAAUCUCUCACCAGAGGGCGCGCUCCGCUUACACGGAGCGUAAUACGCCCUCUGGUGAGAGAUUGUAUAGCCCCAUCAGAUUUUGAGGGAUACCAACAGUGGCGGAGUGGUUUCAAGAAAAAGUUAACACUCAGGCCCGGGGCUGUGCCAACCAUCCAUUCCCCCUCAUUGUCAAAGCCUGAACACCGCUGACGUGCUAUACAAAACCUCAAAAUAUAUAGGUUGUUUGAUGGCACUACUGGACAUACUGAACAUGCUGAAACUGUGGUUGAAAGGUUGUCACAAGCAGGUGCUUCCGCAAUUUCCUUAAGCUCAUCAGAAAAAGAUGAAGUCAGAGAAGAUGAUUUAUUGAAUGCUGAGGCAACUGUUACAGGUGACAUAGCUCAUUUACAGGUUCUGAAUAACAUACCACAUCAAGUUAUGUGUUCACUUGAGUCAGAUAAAGCACAGGAUACAGCUACUUGUACAGAUGAAAUCCUUCCUGAUAGUGACCCACCCAAGAAACAGUCAAGGGGAACACAGUUGGGAUUAAAAAGAGAGAGCUACAGAAGUAUAGGUAGACAUGUUUGAGAAGUGUGAAACUUGUGAUGUUGGCAUUCAGUGUGGGGAGACGGAACAUACUGAAAUGGAG
Saccostrea echinata is the source of this 1229-nucleotide long non-coding RNA. RefSeq lists it as uncharacterized. NCBI's taxonomy places the organism in Eukaryota, Metazoa, Mollusca, Bivalvia, Ostreida, Ostreidae. The record is from RefSeq and is a predicted model, not a curated record. The transcript has 6 exons.